This 76-nucleotide transfer RNA is filed under the name Accumulibacter sp. RNAcentral's name for it is "tRNA-Thr". It matches the Rfam family "tRNA". Rfam says of the family: Transfer RNA (tRNA) molecules are approximately 80 nucleotides in length. Their secondary structure includes four short double-helical elements and three loops (D, anti-codon, and T loops). The record is from RNAcentral. Lineage: Bacteria; Pseudomonadati; Pseudomonadota; Betaproteobacteria.
GCUGGCGUAGCUCAGUUGGUAGAGCAACUGAUUCGUAAUCAGUAGGUCGGGGGUUCGACUCCUCUCGCCAGCACCA